CAGAAAAACAGUGUGAAAUCAAAUUUUGACGAGUAUCGAAUAUUUUACGGCCUUUUAAAACAUGUAUAACCGAACUUCGCUCCAAAUUGAUUUUCGAUAGAUAAGAUUUAUUGUUGGUUACAGAAAUAAAUUGAAUAACAUAAAGUAUCUCACGUUACUAAAUGUCAACCCAUAAUGUGGCCGCACUUGUCCCUUUUAUUAGCUUUUUAAAUAUUUAAC
Non-coding RNA from Cinara cedri, 219 nucleotides. NCBI's taxonomy places the organism in Eukaryota, Metazoa, Arthropoda, Insecta, Hemiptera, Aphididae. The record is from the annotation of a GenBank genome assembly.